This 468-nucleotide ribosomal RNA is filed under the name uncultured bacterium. Its description in RNAcentral is "partial 16S ribosomal RNA". It matches the Rfam family "Bacterial small subunit ribosomal RNA", at positions 28 to 507 of the family's 1533-position model. The record is from RNAcentral.
GACGAACGCUGGCGGCGUGCUUAACACAUGCAAGUCGAACGGAAAGGCCCUGCUUUUGCGGGGUGCUCGAGUGGCGAACGGGUGAGUAACACGUGAGUAACCUGCCCUUGACUUUGGGAUAACUUCAGGAAACUCCGGCUAAUACCGGAGAGGAUCUUCUGCUGCAUGGGGGGGGUUGGAAAGUUCCGGCGGUUGGGGCUGUACUCGCUGCUUAUCAGCUUGUUGGUGGGGUAGUGACUGACCAAGGCUUUGACGGGUAGGCGGGCUGAGAGGGGGGACGGCCACAAUGGGACUGCGAUACGGCCCAGUAUCCUACGGGACGCAGCAGUGGAGAAUAUUACAGAAUGGGGGGGAGUCUGUGGUAGCAAUGCUGGGAGCGGGAAAACGGGCUACGAGGUGUGAACAGAUGUCGCCGGUGACGAAGAGUGCGUGACGGUAAUGGGUAAGGAAGCAACGGCUAACUACGUG